UUACACAAAUAUGAAGGCGGGCUGGAACCUCUCGGGGUUACAGCCUUGCUGAAUUAUUCACCCUUGUCUUUUGCGUACUUCUUGUUUCCUUGGUGGGUUCGCCCACCACUAGGACAAACAUAAACCUUUUGUAAUUGCAAUCAGCGUCAGUAACAAAUUAAUAAUUACAACUUUCAACAACGGAUCUCUUGGUUCUGGCAUCGAUGAAGAACGCAGCGAAAUGCGAUAAGUAGUGUGAAUUGCAGAAUUCAGUGAAUCAUCGAAUCUUUGAACGCACAUUGCGCCCUUUGGUAUUCCAAAGGGCAUGCCUGUUCGAGCGUCAUUUGUACCCUCAAGCUUUGCUUGGUGUUGGGCGUCUUGUCUCUAGCUUUGCUGGAGACUCGCCUUAAAGUAAUUGGCAGCCGGCCUACUGGUUUCGGAGCGCAGCACAAGUCGCACUCUCUAUCAGCAAAGGUCUAGCAUCCAUUAAGCCUUUUUUUCAACUUUUGACCUCGGAUCAGGUAGGGAUACCCGCUGAACUUAAGCAUAUCAAUAAGCGGAGGAAAAGAAACCAACAGGGAUUGCCCUAGUAACGGCGAGUGAAGCGGCAACAGCUCAAAUUUGAAUCUGGCUCUUUUAGAGUCCGAGUUGUAAUUUGCAGAGGGCGCUUUGGCUUUGGCAGCGGUCCAAGUUCCUUGGAACAGGACGUCACAGAGGGUGAGAAUCCCGUACGUG
This 714-nucleotide ribosomal RNA is filed under the name fungal endophyte. Its description in RNAcentral is "eukaryotic LSU rRNA". The stretch from base 487 to 714 matches the Rfam family "Eukaryotic large subunit ribosomal RNA", at positions 1 to 227 of the family's 3401-position model. Lineage: Eukaryota; Fungi. The record is from RNAcentral.